GGAGGGGUGGCAUAGUGGUCCAUUGCACGCAAAGCGUAAGUUUUGUGUAUUCUGCUAAGCAGAGUCGUAUGUUCAAAUCGUACCCCCUCCG
Molecule: transfer RNA, 91 nt
Filed under: Candidatus Levyibacteriota bacterium
Lineage: Bacteria; Candidatus Levyibacteriota
Description: tRNA-OTHER
Rfam family: tRNA
About the family: Transfer RNA (tRNA) molecules are approximately 80 nucleotides in length. Their secondary structure includes four short double-helical elements and three loops (D, anti-codon, and T loops).
Source: RNAcentral